Long non-coding RNA from Lampris incognitus (smalleye Pacific opah), 418 nucleotides. RefSeq lists it as uncharacterized. The transcript is spliced from 3 exons. The record is from RefSeq and is a predicted model, not a curated record. Lineage: Eukaryota; Metazoa; Chordata; Actinopteri; Lampriformes; Lampridae.
AGACAACACACACUAGAAUGGCUGUUUAGCUCAAGAAGGGAAUUGGGUGAAGAGGUAACUCAAUAUGCCACGGUGCUUCCUGGGAAAUUCUCCACACGUAUUAGAGCCGACAUAGCUUCCUCUAUAGGCUUGUCGAGCCGGCACUGCGAUUCCUCCCAUGGAUCCAACGAUGUCGGGGUCUUAGGACUAGCGGAUGUUCAGUUCAGAGUUACGUUUGGCCGUAUAUACUGUAUUUUUUUUUUAAAAAUUUCAUACUUUUGGUACUGUUUUAAACCGCAUGGACAUUUUUGUGUGCAACUACAUUCAGCGUGCUGCUGCCUGUCUUGGCUGGGACGCUUAUAAAAUAGACUUUUAAUUUCCACAAGGCUUUUUCUCUGAAAUACACUAAAUGGGCAGUUAUUUUAUUUAGCUGUCGAUU